GAGUUUGAUCAUGGCUCAGAACGAACACUGGCGGCGUGGAUUAGGCAUGCAAGUCGAACGAGAAAGCUCCCUUCGGGGAGUGAGUAGAGUGGCGAACGGGACAGUAACGCGUGGGAAACCUACCCUUCGGUGGGGGAUAACACUUCUAACGAAGUGCUAAUACCGCAUUCGAUCUUCGGGCUGCAUGGCCUGGGGAUGAAAGGUGGCCUCUGCUUGCAAGCUGCCGCCGAUGGAUGGUCCCGCGUCCCAUUAGCUAGUUGGUAGGGUAACGGCCUACCAAGGCUGCGAUGGGUAGCCGACCUGAGAGGGUGACCGGCGUCACUGGGACUGAGAUACGGCCCAGACUCCUACGGGAGGCAGCAGUCGAGAAGCUUCGGCAAUGGGGGAAACCCUGACCGAGCGACGCCGCGUGAGCGAUGAAGGCCCUAGUGGUUGUAAAGCUCUGUCAGAUUGGGAAUAAAUGCCGGGGGCGAAUAACCCCUGGAGCUGAAGGUACCGUCAGAGGAAGCACCGGCUAACUCCGUGCCAGCAGCCGCGGUAAUACGGAGGGUGCAAGCGUUGUUCGGAUUCACUGGGUAUAAAGGGUGCGUAGGCGGCCU
This 599-nucleotide ribosomal RNA is filed under the name uncultured bacterium. RNAcentral describes it as "bacterial SSU rRNA". It matches the Rfam family "Bacterial small subunit ribosomal RNA", at positions 9 to 581 of the family's 1533-position model. The record is from RNAcentral.